RNAcentral lists this ribosomal RNA (478 nucleotides) under Planctomycete enrichment culture clone MSGTP07. RNAcentral's name for it is "bacterial SSU rRNA". It matches the Rfam family "Bacterial small subunit ribosomal RNA", at positions 364 to 832 of the family's 1533-position model. The record is from RNAcentral. Lineage: Bacteria; Pseudomonadati; Planctomycetota; Planctomycetia; Planctomycetales.
UUUCGCAAUGCCCGAAAGGGUGACGAAGCGACGCCGCGUGUGGGAAGAAGGCCUUCGGGUUGUAAACCACUGUCGGGAGUUAGGAAAUGCAGGUGCGUUAAUAGCGCACUUGCUUGACUAAGGCUCCAGAGGAAGCCACGGCUAACUCUGUGCCAGCAGCCGCGGUAAUACAGAGGCGGCAAGCGUUGUUCGGAAUUAUUGGGCGUAAAGAGCACGUAGGCGGCCUUGCAAGUCAGUUGUGAAAGCCUUCCGCUUAACGGAAGAACGGCAUCUGAUACUACAGGGCUUGAGUACGGGAGGGGAGAGUGGAACUUCUGGUGGAGCGGUGAAAUGCGUAGAUAUCAGAAGGAACGCCGGCGGCGAAAGCGACUCUCUGGUCCGAAACUGACGCUGAGUGUGCGAAAGCUAGGGGAGCAAACGGGAUUAGAUAGCCCGGUAGUCCUAGCCGUAAACGAUGGGCACUAAGUAGAGGGGUUUU